This 73-nucleotide transfer RNA is filed under the name Cordylochernes scorpioides. RNAcentral's name for it is "tRNA-Thr". Lineage: Eukaryota; Metazoa; Arthropoda; Arachnida; Pseudoscorpiones; Chernetidae. The record is from RNAcentral.
UUCCAGGGAUGGGAAUCGAACCCACAGUGUUCCGCUUACUGGGAAGAUGCCAUGUCCACUAAGCUACCCUGGA